GCCAGACUGGAACCGGGAGAGGUAAGAGGUACUACAGGGGUAGGAGUGAAAUCUUGUAAUCCCUGUGGGACCACCGUGUGGCGAAGGCGUCUUACCAGAACGGGUUCGACGGUGAGGGACGAAAGCUGGGGCACGAACCGGAUUAGAUACCCGGGUAGUCCCAGCCGUAAACGAUGCUCGCUAGGUGUCAGGCAUGGCGCGACCGUGUCUGGUGCCGCAGGGAAGCCGUGAAGCGAGCCACCUGGGAAGUACGGCCGCAAGGCUGAAACUUAAAGGAAUUGGCGGGGGAGCACAACAACGGGUGGAGCCUGCGGUUUAAUUGGACUCAACGCCGGACAACUCACCGGGGGCGACAAGCAAUAUGUAGGCCAAGCUGAAGACUUUGCCUGAAUCCGCUGAGGGGUGGUGCAUGG
RNAcentral lists this ribosomal RNA (413 nucleotides) under uncultured archaeon. RNAcentral's name for it is "bacterial SSU rRNA". It matches the Rfam family "Archaeal small subunit ribosomal RNA", at positions 587 to 997 of the family's 1478-position model. The record is from RNAcentral.